AUAAUCCCACCUCUCUCACUUAAAAAAGAGACAAAUAAGAUCAAUUUUUUUAGACUUAGAACAUCAAAUUGUGAGAAAUUUCGACACUAUUCUCUUAAUUCUUUGGAGAGAAAAGAGAGCUGAAAACAAAAAGAAUUUCUAAGUGAAUAGAACUCCGAUAAAACUUAGAAAAUCUGAGAAGAUUUAGAUGAUCCUGUUUGGUUUUAGUCACUGAUUUCUAUUGAAAUUUGAGCUCAAAGUUUUUUGGGUUUUUCUGCUGGUUUUGAGUUGUUCAAGGUUGUUCCUAUAAUUGAUGAGCUCCAUCAUAUUCUUUCAUUUGGCUCAUCUAGCUGUUUUUAAGCAUACUAGUAUGAAAUGAAGCGUGGGUGUUAGUGCUGGGAUUAUGAGACUUGAUCAGUGCUGAAGACUUAAAGUCACCAUACCAUAGUGGCUAAUGAACUGGAUUGGUAAAAAAUAGAACCUGAGGAACCUGAAUGUAAAAGUACUGAUUUUUAUUCUUGCACAAAUUUGAGAGUUGAUUAAUUUAUUGAUAGCCAUGUCUGUAAUAACUCUUAUAUUCAUGACCAAGUUUUUAAUUAAUUUGCGGCAAUAAACUGAAAGACUAAGACCUUACGAAGGUCGUUGGGCCGACCUUCGUUGGCAUCCAGCUUCAUGUAGUUGAUCAUUCAAGGCCUAACUUUCAUGGCCAUAUAAGCUUAUUUGUCAAUAUUCUACUAGAAUGAGCUUCACUUCGAGCCCAAAACUCUUAGAUUCUUCAAUAAUCCAGAAAGUUUUUUCAUAAAA
This is a long non-coding RNA of Nicotiana attenuata, 783 nucleotides long. RefSeq lists it as uncharacterized. The transcript is spliced from 2 exons. The record is from RefSeq and is a predicted model, not a curated record. Lineage: Eukaryota; Viridiplantae; Streptophyta; Magnoliopsida; Solanales; Solanaceae.